CUGAAGAGAGACUGGGGUCCCUUCCCCAGAUCUCCUGUGCAAAUCUGGCAAACUAUUUCCUCAAUUUUCUUAGAUUCCUCUGCAUCAAACAAGGAUGAUAACAAUGCUGCUUGCUUUUGUGCUAAGGGCCCUUUGUUUAGAUUGGGUCCUUGAUGCAAUGUGUUGUGAAUGUUGACCUGUAAUGAAAGCAACUGUACGUUUGAAAAUGCUGAGAACCCAGCUAUCUGUGCACACCAUCUCUCUGCAUACAUCUUGUUUGGGCAAUACAAUUAGCAAAGAAUAAGCUUGACAUUAACACUACAUUUUAUCACAAUCUCUGGGAAGAUAAGCCCAUGCAGAGAGCUGCGGGCCUUCCAGCCUCGUGAGAAGGACGUGAGGAAGAUCACACAGGUGUGGUGGUUUUAUGCAGGAAGAGGAAAUCAUAGGAGAGAGCUGCUCCUGCACUGUGCAAUGUCAAGAAAAGCUGCCUCAGUUGGAUUAAGGAGUUUAGCAUAAAAGUUAGGAUUAUUGGCUCUAUUGUUGCUGAAAGCAUCUUUGCAAAGCUUAUUUGAAUGCUCUCUUGAGUCCCACAUGAGGUCACAAAACAAGUCGUGGUAUUGAUGUGUGUUAAUACUGCUGUCAGGGCUUCCAUUCUCCAGAACAGUUCAGUCUUCAGGAACUAAUUUUGCCUUGUCAGGUUAUAAAAAGAAGUUACAUCUCUCAGGCUGUUAGACCUUGUCGGGGUUUCAGAUCUGUAACAGGUUAAAAUUCUGAAAGAUAGGCUGAUUCCUCCAUGUUUCUAUGGUAGACGGAGUAGGCAUGGAUUUUAUGGAUAGCUUUUAUGAAUGAAACGUUAAACCAAGAACGUGCCCUCUCCAUGUUGAGAUAGAUGAUCAUUACAUGCUCCAUUUCCCACGGACCAGUAUUUGUCCAGUAUCCUUGCUCGAAAUACUGCCUCAGCACUCUGUUACUGUAAUGACAGAAAUGACUUCCUGCUAUUCGUAAUUCUGAGUGCAGCCAUAAGGAAUGUUUGAGCAAGCA
This 1020-nucleotide long non-coding RNA is filed under the name Anser brachyrhynchus (Pink-footed goose). Its description in RNAcentral is "lncRNA (ENSABRG00000014835.1)". The record is from RNAcentral. Lineage: Eukaryota; Metazoa; Chordata; Aves; Anseriformes; Anatidae.